CUUAGCUUGCUAAGGCCGAUGGCGACCGGCGCACGGGUGAGUAACACGUAUCCCAUUUGGCGUCUACUCUUGGACAGCCUUCUGAAAGGAAGAUUAAUACAAGAUGGCAUCAUGAGUUCGCAUGUUCACAUGAUUAAAGGUAUUCCGGUAGACGAUGGGGAUGCGUUCCAUUAGAUAGUAGGCGGGGUAACGGCCCACCUAGUCUUCGAUGGAUAGGGGUUCUGAGAGGAAGGUCCCCCACAUUGGAACUGAGACACGGUCCAAACUCCUACGGGAGGCAGCAGUGAGGAAUAUUGGUCAAUGGGCGAGAGCCUGAACCAGCCAAGUAGCGUGAAGGAUGACUGCCCUAUGGGUUGUAAACUUCUUUUAUAAAGGAAUAAAGUCGGGUAUGUAUACCCGUUUGCAUGUACUUUAUGAAUAAGGAUCGGCUAACUCCGUGCCAGCAGCCGCGGUAAUACGGAGGAUCCGAGCGUUAUCCGGAUUUAUUGGGUUUAAAGGGAGCGUAGAUGGAUGUUUAAGUCAGUUGUGAAAGUUUGCGGCUCAACCGUAAAAUUGCAGUUGAUACUGGAUAUCUUGAGUGCAGUUGAGGCAGGCGGAAUUCGUGGUGUAGCGGUGAAAUGCUUAGAUAUCACGAAGAACUCCGAUUG
RNAcentral lists this ribosomal RNA (647 nucleotides) under uncultured Bacteroides sp. RNAcentral describes it as "bacterial SSU rRNA". It matches the Rfam family "Bacterial small subunit ribosomal RNA", at positions 71 to 715 of the family's 1533-position model. Lineage: Bacteria; Pseudomonadati; Bacteroidota; Bacteroidia; Bacteroidales; Bacteroidaceae. The record is from RNAcentral.